AAUAUGGAUGAUCAUAUUUAUGAAUAUUCCCUCCGUCUUAUUUGAAAUUUUUUUAUGAUUAGUAUUUUUAUUGUUAUUAGAUGAUAAAAUAUGAAUAGUACUUUAUUUGUGACUAAUUUUUUUCAAAUUUUUCAAAUAAGACGAACGGUCAAACGUCGGACACAGUUCCCCACGACUGCACUUAUU
Oryza nivara is the source of this 186-nucleotide non-coding RNA. The record is from Rfam. NCBI's taxonomy places the organism in Eukaryota, Viridiplantae, Streptophyta, Magnoliopsida, Poales, Poaceae.